CUGAAUCCUGCUGAAUUCACACCCUGGCAAUAUAGCAAUGUCCAAGGGAUGCAACUGGUAAUUCUGCCUGGCUGUUAAACUGCCUCAUGUCAUCCUGCUUCCAAUGGCUGCUGACAAGUGUGCAGAGAGAGAGCGUGCAGGAAGAUGGGCAGAGGCUGGGAGCACUUUCAUCCUGCUGAGGCUGUGUGUGUGUGAAUCUCCCGAGCAUCCCGGGGGAGCCUCUCUGGGAAGCGCUGCAGAGCCGGCUGCGGUGUGUGCUGCCGAUAAGGAGGUGAAACAAUGGCUGCGAUACCAAAAGCCUUCACAGAAUUACUUGGUUGUCUAAAAUAUACUGAAGGAAACAACACUAAUGGCCCCCAGAUGUGACAACAGAAGAACAGAAAAUAAAACAAUUCACUUAAAGGAGAGAAAACGAGGUGGAGGAAGAAGGAGAAGCAAGGAAAGAAGAAAGACUUGGAUAUUUUGUCAGACAUAUUUGGUUAGGUUUU
Molecule: long non-coding RNA, 488 nt
Organism: Vidua macroura (Pin-tailed whydah)
Lineage: Eukaryota; Metazoa; Chordata; Aves; Passeriformes; Viduidae
Exons: 3
Source: RefSeq, a predicted model, not a curated record